AGGGGUAUAGUUCAAUGAUAGAGCACAUGCUUAGCAUGCAUGAGGUCCUGGGUUCAAUCCCUAGUACCUCCA
Transfer RNA from Camelus ferus (Wild Bactrian camel), 72 nucleotides. It matches the Rfam family "tRNA". From Rfam's summary of the family: Transfer RNA (tRNA) molecules are approximately 80 nucleotides in length. Their secondary structure includes four short double-helical elements and three loops (D, anti-codon, and T loops). Further hydrogen bonds mediate the characteristic L-shaped molecular structure. tRNAs have two regions of fundamental functional importance: the anti-codon, which is responsible for specific mRNA codon recognition, and the 3' end, to which the tRNAs corresponding amino acid is attached (by aminoacyl-tRNA synthetases). tRNAs cope with the degeneracy of the genetic code in two manners: having more than one tRNA (with a specific anti-codon) for a particular amino acid; and 'wobble' base-pairing, i.e. permitting non-standard base-pairing at the 3rd anti-codon position. The record is from Rfam. NCBI's taxonomy places the organism in Eukaryota, Metazoa, Chordata, Mammalia, Artiodactyla, Camelidae.